GGUGCUUGCAUCAUGAUUUACAUUUGAGUGAGUGGCGAACUGGUGAGUAACACGUGGGAAACCUGCCCAGAAGCGGGGGAUAACACCUGGAAACAGAUGCUAAUACCGCAUAACAACUUGGACCGCAUGGUCCGAGCUUGAAAGAUGGCUUCGGCUAUCACUUUUGGAUGGUCCCGCGGCGUAUUAGCUAGAUGGUGGGGUAACGGCUCACCAUGGCAAUGAUACGUAGCCGACCUGAGAGGGUAAUCGGCCACAUUGGGACUGAGACACGGCCCAAACUCCUACGGGAGGCAGCAGUAGGGAAUCUUCCACAAUGGACGAAAGUCUGAUGGAGCAACGCCGCGUGAGUGAAGAAGGGUUUCGGCUCGUAAAACUCUGUUGUUAAAGAAGAACAUAUCUGAGAGUAACUGUUCAGGUAUUGACGGUAUUUAACCAGAAAGCCACGGCUAACUACGUGCCAGCAGCCGCGGUAAUACGUAGGUGGCAAGCGUUGUCCGGAUUUAUUGGGCGUAAAGCGAGCGCAGGCG
RNAcentral lists this ribosomal RNA (527 nucleotides) under Lactiplantibacillus plantarum. RNAcentral's name for it is "bacterial SSU rRNA". It matches the Rfam family "Bacterial small subunit ribosomal RNA", at positions 64 to 577 of the family's 1533-position model. Lineage: Bacteria; Bacillati; Bacillota; Bacilli; Lactobacillales; Lactobacillaceae. The record is from RNAcentral.